CGGGGGGAGCAAGCGUUGUUCGGAGUUUACUGGGCGUAAAGGGCGCGUAGGCGGCCUCUGCAAGUCGACUGUGAAAUCUCCGGGCUUAACCCGGAACGGUCAGCCGAUACUGCAGGGCUAGAGUGCAGAAGGGGCAACUGGAAUUCUCGGUGUAGCGGUGAAAUGCGUAGAUAUCGAGAGGAACACCUGCGGCGAAGGCGGGUUGCUGGGCUGACACUGACGCUGAGGCGCGAAAGCUAGGGGAGCGAGCGGGAUUAGAUACCCCGGUAGUCCUAGCCUUAAACGAUGAAUGCUUGGUGUCUGGGGUUUUAUAGUCCCCGGGUGCCGUCGCUAACGCUUUAAGCAUUCCGCCUGGGGAGUACGGUCGCAAGACUG
RNAcentral lists this ribosomal RNA (375 nucleotides) under uncultured organism. Its description in RNAcentral is "bacterial SSU rRNA". It matches the Rfam family "Bacterial small subunit ribosomal RNA", at positions 526 to 896 of the family's 1533-position model. The record is from RNAcentral.